This 227-nucleotide ribosomal RNA is filed under the name uncultured bacterium. RNAcentral's name for it is "partial 16S ribosomal RNA". It matches the Rfam family "Bacterial small subunit ribosomal RNA", at positions 15 to 236 of the family's 1533-position model. The record is from RNAcentral.
GAUCAUGGCUCAGGAUGAACGCUGGCGGCGUGCUUAACACAUGCAAGUCGAACGAUUGAAGCUGGAGCUUGCUCCGGCCGAUUUAGUGGCGGACGGGUGAGUAACGCGUGGGUAACCUGCCUCAUACAGGGGGAUAGCAGUUGGAAACGACUGGUAAAACCGCAUAAGCGCACGGUAUCGCAUGAUACAGUGUGAAAACACUCCGGUGGUAUGAGAUGGACCCGNGU